UACAGAGGGGGCAAGCGUUGUUCGGAAUUACUGGGCGUAAAGGGCGCGUAGGCGGCCCAGUAAGUCAGACGUGAAAUCCCCUGGCUCAACCAGGGAACUGCGUCUGAUACUGGAUGGCUUGAAUCCGGGAGAGGGAUGUGGAAUUCCAGGUGUAGCGGUGAAAUGCGUAGAUAUCUGGAGGAACACCGGUGGCGAAGGCGGCAUCCUGGACCGGUAUUGACGCUGAGGCGCGAAAGCCAGGGGAGCAAACGGG
Molecule: ribosomal RNA, 253 nt
Filed under: uncultured bacterium
Lineage: Bacteria
Description: partial 16S ribosomal RNA
Rfam family: Bacterial small subunit ribosomal RNA
Source: RNAcentral